RNAcentral lists this non-coding RNA (23 nucleotides) under Rattus norvegicus (Norway rat). The record is from RNAcentral. Lineage: Eukaryota; Metazoa; Chordata; Mammalia; Rodentia; Muridae.
CAAUAAACAAAAGCAGUCAUCUU